Molecule: ribosomal RNA, 459 nt
Filed under: uncultured bacterium
Lineage: Bacteria
Description: partial 16S ribosomal RNA
Rfam family: Bacterial small subunit ribosomal RNA
Source: RNAcentral
CCUACGGGUGGCAGCAGUGAGGAAUAUUGGUCAAUGGCCGAGGGGCUGAACCAGCCAAGUCGCGUGAGGGAAGACGGCCCUACGGGUUGUAAACCUCUUUUGUCGGGGAGCAAAGCGAACCACGUGUGGUUCAUUGAGAGUACCCGAAGAAAAAGCAUCGGCUAACUCCGUGCCAGCAGCCGCGGUAAUACGGAGGAUGCGAGCGUUAUCCGGAUUUAUUGGGGUUAAAGGGUGCGCAGGCGGAGGUGCAAGUCAGCGGUCAAAUUGCGGGGCUCAACCCCGUACUGCCGUUGAAACUGCAUCCCUUGAGUGCGCGAGAAGUAUGCGGAAUGCGUGGUGUAGCGGUGAAAUGCAUAGAUAUCACGCAGAACUCCGAUUGCGAAGGCAGCAUACCGGCGCGCAACUGACGCUCAUGCACGAAAGCGUGGGGAGCAAACAGGAUUAGAUACCCGAGUAGUC